Molecule: ribosomal RNA, 505 nt
Filed under: uncultured bacterium
Lineage: Bacteria
Description: partial 16S ribosomal RNA
Rfam family: Bacterial small subunit ribosomal RNA
Source: RNAcentral
GACGAACGCUGGCGGCGUGCCUAAUACAUGCAAGUAGAACGCACAGUUUAUACCGUAGCUUGCUACACAAUAGACUGUGAGUUGCGAACGGGUGAGUAACGCGUAGGUAACCUGCCUGGUAGCGGGGGAUAACUAUUGGAAACGAUAGCUAAUACCGCAUAAUAUUAAUUAUUGCAUGAUAAUUAAUUAAAAGGUGCAAUUGCACCACUACCAGAUGGACCUGCGUUGUAUUAGCUAGUAGGUGAGGUAACGGCUCACCUAGGCGACGAUACAUAGCCGACCUGAGAGGGUGAUCGGCCACACUGGGACUGAGACACGGCCCAGACUCCUACGGGAGGCAGCAGUAGGGAAUCUUCGGCAAUGGACGAAAGUCUGACCGAGCAACGCCGCGUGAGUGAAGAAGGUUUUCGGAUCGUAAAGCUCUGUUGUAAGAGAAGAACGGGUGUGAGAGUGGAAAGUUCACACUGUGACGGUAUCUUACCAGAAAGGGACGGCUAACUACGUG